GGGUUGUAAACUUCUUUUAUAUUAGAAUAAAGUGCAGUAUGUAUACUGUUUUGUAUGUAUAAUAUGAAUAAGGAUCGGCUAACUCCGUGCCAGCAGCCGCGGUAAUACGGAGGAUCCGAGCGUUAUCCGGAUUUAUUGGGUUUAAAGGGAGCGUAGGUGGGCUGGUAAGUCAGUUGUGAAAGUUUGCGGCUCAACCGUAAAAUUGCAGUUGAUACUGUCAGUCUUGAGUACAGUAGAGGUGGGCGGAAUUCGUGGUGUAGCGGUGAAAUGCUUAGAUAUCACGAAGAACUCCGAUUGCGAAGGCAGCUCACUGGACUGCAACUGACACUGAUGCUCGAAAGUGUGGGUAUCAAACAGGAUUAGAUGCCCUGGUAGUCCACACAGUAAA
This 388-nucleotide ribosomal RNA is filed under the name uncultured bacterium. RNAcentral describes it as "bacterial SSU rRNA". It matches the Rfam family "Bacterial small subunit ribosomal RNA", at positions 420 to 806 of the family's 1533-position model. The record is from RNAcentral.